UACGAAGGGGGCUAGCGUUGCUCGGAAUCACUGGGCGUAAAGCGCACGAAGGCGGACUCUUAAGUCGGUGGUGAAAUCCUGGAGCUCAACUCCAGAACUGCCUUCGAUACUGAGAGUCUCGAGUCCGGGAGAGGUGAGUGGAACUGCGAGUGUAGAGGUGAAAUUCGUAGAUAUUCGCAAGAACACCAGUGGCGAAGGCGGCUCACUGGCCCGGUACUGACGCUGAGGUGCGAAAGCGUGGGGAGCAAACAGG
This 253-nucleotide ribosomal RNA is filed under the name uncultured bacterium. RNAcentral describes it as "partial 16S ribosomal RNA". It matches the Rfam family "Bacterial small subunit ribosomal RNA", at positions 524 to 776 of the family's 1533-position model. The record is from RNAcentral.